AAAUGUAAAUAAAAACUAUAAUAGUAUCUCAAUGAUACCAAAAUAACAUUAUUAAUUGUUGUAAGUUUAAAAAAGAAAAAAAAGGUCUUCUACAUCAAAAUGUAAUAUUCAAUGUUACUUGCAGAUUCUGAUAUGUGAAAUUGACUUUAAGUGAUCAAAAUUCAUGUUUUUUUCAUUAAUUAUUUAAGUGGAAAUCCCUUUCACAGAAUAUAUAAGCUGCAGCUGAUGGCAGAUGGGUUUGAACACUCAUUCUCUCUCUGUGACAGCAUGUCUUCAGAGUUCAUUUCUAGGAAGGGCACUGCAGUAUUUAAAUACAUGAGUAUUUAAACACGCCCCAGAGCCACACACACUGCUGGCUCCUGCAGCUCACAGGUGCUGUCACUGCUAUGAUGCAAAUCAUUUGUUUUGGCUGUGUAUGGAGAUGGCGCCGCCUCCGCAGUGCAUUGACAUGCAAACCAGAUCCCACUAGAGACAUGAAGAGAAGUAUUAAACUGAGGACUGACUGAUGGAUGACUAAGGUUUGCUUAAAGGUUACCAUCUCUUCUUUUCUUUCUAUCUAUCACUCUUUCUCUCUCCUGUCAUUCUCAUUCCCUCCUCCUGAUUAAUGUCUUGAUUAAAUGCCAUGAAAUGACUUGGCGCAUGACACACACAUAUAACUGAGCUCUACAGAUGUAAUAUUAAGCAUGUCCACUUACAUCAGUCCAGCUCUCAUUGACAGUUCUUAGAAUUUAGUAGCCAUUUUUAAAAUUGACUCAGACUGGUUUAUUAUUGAUUCACUCAACUCUCAGUCUCAACCAAUGCAAAAAAAGAGUUAAUCUUGUCCAUUGGAGGUGGCCAGUUACUAUAAAACUAUAUAAUCACUUUGUUCUGCUUUUAAUGCUAUAUAACGAAGCUUGAUUGUAAGGAUUGUCAUGGGCCAGUGUGAAAGAUUCUGUAUUUCAUUGUGCUUUGGUUUACUGUAACAAAUCUAUCUAUCAGAAUCAGCAUUGGUCGCACAUCUACAGAGGUGGAAAGUAACGAAUUACAUUUACUCGCGUUACUGUAAUUGAGUAGCUUUUUUGUGUACUUCUACUUUUUAAAGUAAUUUUUAAAAUCUGUAAUUUUACUUUUACUUAAGUAUAUUUUGUUUUAAGUAUUGUACUUCGCUACAUUUUAAAACACAUUAAUUACUGAGUAAAAAAAAAAUAAAAAAUCGCUCCCUGGAAACUACUGCAGUAACUAAUGGGCAGGGGGCAAUUCUG
Molecule: long non-coding RNA, 1241 nt
Organism: Cyprinus carpio carpio
Lineage: Eukaryota; Metazoa; Chordata; Actinopteri; Cypriniformes; Cyprinidae
Source: Ensembl